CCCCCCUGGCAAUGGACAAAGAGACACCUUGUUGGUGGUGGUGUUCUUAUGUAAGUCAGGGACGGAGCAGUUGGCAGUCCUUUGUUCAUCCUAGCUUGAUACCUGGCUUGGUGGCCAAAGAUGACACAUGCCUAGGAUUCAUAA
Apodemus sylvaticus (European woodmouse) is the source of this 144-nucleotide small nucleolar RNA. RefSeq annotates it as small nucleolar RNA SNORA48. Lineage: Eukaryota; Metazoa; Chordata; Mammalia; Rodentia; Muridae. The transcript has a single exon. The record is from RefSeq and is a predicted model, not a curated record.